CAUGGUAAAUAAGACUAAUCUUUGUUUCAUAUGCUUGCAUAUACACUUUUAGAAUCUAGGCCUUGUUUAGUUUCCAAAAAAUUUUGCAAAAUUUUUCAGAUUCUCCGUCACAUCAAAUCUUUAGACGUAUGCAUGAAGUAUUAAAUAUAGACAAAAAUAAAAACUAAUUGCACAGUUUGGUCGGAAUUGACGAGACAAAUCAUGAUUGGACAAUAUUUAUCAAAUACAAACGAAAGUGUCGAUUUCCCAAAAAAAAAAUUUGAACUAAACAAGGCCCU
RNAcentral lists this long non-coding RNA (278 nucleotides) under Sorghum bicolor (sorghum). RNAcentral describes it as "long non-coding RNA (SBIC_LNC001524)". The record is from RNAcentral. Lineage: Eukaryota; Viridiplantae; Streptophyta; Magnoliopsida; Poales; Poaceae.